This 446-nucleotide ribosomal RNA is filed under the name uncultured bacterium. Its description in RNAcentral is "partial 16S ribosomal RNA". It matches the Rfam family "Bacterial small subunit ribosomal RNA", at positions 355 to 790 of the family's 1533-position model. The record is from RNAcentral.
UAGGGAAUCUUCCACAAUGGACGAAAGUCUGAUGGAGCAACGCCGCGCGAGUGAUGAAGGGUUUCGGCUCGUAAAACUCUGUUGUUGGAGAAGAACAGGUGAUAGAGUAACUGUUAUCAUCUUGACGGUAUCCAACCAGAAAGCCACGGCUAACUACGUGCCAGCAGCCGCGGUAAUACGUAGGUGGCAAGCGUUGUCCGGAUUUAUUGGGCGUAAAGCGAGCGCAGGCGGUUUUUUAGGUCUGAUGUGAAAGCCUUCGGCUUAACCGGAGAAGGGCAUCGGAAACCGGGAGACUUGAGUGCAGAAGAGGACAGUGGAACUCCAUGUGUAGCGGUGAAAUGCGUAGAUAUAUGGGAAGAACACCAGUGGCGAAGGCGGCUGUCUGGUCUGUAACUGACGCUGAGGCUCGAAAGCAUGGGUAGCGAACAGGAUUAGAUACCCCUUGG